UGCUGUGGCUCUGGUGGAGGCUGGUGGCUACGGCUCUGAUUAGACCCCUAGCCUAGGAAUCUCCAUAUGCCUCGGGAGCGGCCCAAGAAUAGCAAAAAGACAAAAAAAAAAAACAAAAAACAAAAAAAAACAAAAAAAACCAAAACUAUGUCUAGAUACUCAUGUUGCAAUAGAACAAAGGGUGGGGAAAAAUGUGAAUGUAAUGUAUGCAUGUAAAGAUAACUUGAUCCCCUUGCUGUACAGUGGGAAAAAAAAAAGUGUGGAAAAAAAAAGAAAAUGAAGGGGGAGGGGAAAGCAACAGCAGAGGGGAUCCCAGAUGAUAGGAAAAAUGGGAGAUUAAAAAGAUUCGCAUUACUAGCUGGAUGUAGGCUCAGAACUCCCUGAAGGUUUAGCGUGAGGGGGACAAUCAUAGAAGAACCCCCCGCUUCAGAAAUACUUUACCCCAAGACUACACCAUUUUUCAUCUGUUUAAUUUCUGCUCUUGCAGGGAGUGGCAGUUCUCACGAAUGAACGUUCCCUGGUGCUCGCCUCCCUUCUUCUGCCAGGGUCUCCAGCCACAAGGGUUGGGGGACGUGGGCCUCGGCACCCAAUUUGCAGCGAGGCCGGGAAAUUGGUCCCGUUAGAGCAGAUUUCACCCAUCAGGAAUGCGCUGGGCCCCCGCCGCCUUCCUGCCACGGCCGCCCUCUACACAGACUGCUCCAGGGCCGGGGAAAUGCAGGACAGGAGCGCCACCUCCGCCGGUCAAAACACCGCCAGGUCAGCCGCUCUUGCCCCAGACUGCCCAGGCCAGGAGGACAAGGCUCGGGGCAGAUCCCAAGCCUCACCUCCGCCCGCACCGCUGAGAGGACGCCAGCGCUGGGUCGGGUGGUGGAUGCGGAACCCGCCCAGGGCCUGACCCCCAUGGCCGCCCCAGCCUCGCCUGGAGCAAGCAGAACCCUGACAUGGAUGUGGACAAGAACAGGACCCUGGACCUGGACAUGAACAAGCAGUGGCUGUGAGAGGGCUGCUGCCCCAUCCUGACACCCCUGGAGCCCAUGUCCCCCAGCAGCAGGCAGUAAUGAACAGAUGGUGUUUCCAGCUGAGAGAGGAGGACAGCUGGGACUUGCCCAUGGACUACACCAAAAUGAAGUCCUGAAGGAUAGAUGAGGAUGAGUCCAAAAGGAUUGCUGUAUGUCCUUGUCAUUGCCCCCACCUUUGUCCACACAGCAUGUGAAGUUGGCAUCACUGAGGAAAAUGCACUUGGCACACACCUCAGCAGAAUUGUCUUUUCUCUUUGAAUAUGACCUUUAGCUGAUCAGGGCUUAGAGGACUUAAGUUGACCCAGGAGAUAUUUGGAUUGAUUUGAGUGAAACAAACCAUUGACUUUUUUAAAUGAUGGAUUUCAUUUUCUAACAACUGUGUUUUGUAACAAACUAUUUCUCUAAGAAAGUGUAUAAACAGCAUACCAGUUCAUUUUUUUCUGGGUGACAGAGCGAUAUAAGGCAGAAUUUUCCUUUCAGAUGGAGAAUGGUAAUGAGAGUCUUAAAUAUUUAAAUGGUUAACUAUACGCUGUUAAUUACCUAGCUUUUUGAGGCUAAGGACAGGGUCUCUUCUCUAAGAAAUCUAAAAUAUUCAGAAGAGUAGACUCUAGCCUAGAAUGUCAACUUAGUACUGCCACCUAAAUCUUUGUUGACUAUAAUAUUACCAAAGCACCUAUGUCAAGAACAUAUUUCUAAAGUAGUUACAAUUUUGCAAUUCAGAUUAUUAAAAGUUAUCCUUUAGGCUAAGAAAGAAGUGAAAAAAAAGUUUUUUGUUAGCCUGAGUCAAUUCUGAAAAUUAUGGUAUCCUCUUUAUUCCCUGGAAAAUGAACAUUCUUUUUGAACACAAUAGGGAGACCCUGAUCAAAGCAAGAGCAUCUUACAGAAACUGGCAGGCAGAGAAAAAGGAAACAUUUGCCAUUUGUAGGAACUGGCAGGGAAGUCACCUAUCUAUAAGGCUGGUGCUGCUAAAGCCUAUUAUCUUUGUUCUUCAAAUUGAUUUAAGUAUCCAGGCAUCUUAAAGAAUAAAAUCUGAAUGGCCAUCUAAAAUCCA
This 2070-nucleotide long non-coding RNA is filed under the name Sus scrofa (pig). RNAcentral's name for it is "lncRNA (ENSSSCG00070003271.1)". Lineage: Eukaryota; Metazoa; Chordata; Mammalia; Artiodactyla; Suidae. The record is from RNAcentral.